CCUACGGGAGGCAGCAGUAGGGAAUCUUCCGCAAUGGACGAAAGUCUGACGGAGCAACGCCGCGUGAACGAUGAAGGCCUUCGGGUCGUAAAGUUCUGUCGUUAGGGAAGAACAAGUGUUAGUUGAAUAAGCUGGCACCUUGACGGUACCUAACCAGAAAGCCACGGCUAACUACGUGCCAGCAGCCGCGGUAAUACGUAGGUGGCAAGCGUUGUCCGGAAUUAUUGGGCGUAAAGCGCGCGCAGGCGGUUUCUUAAGUCUGAUGUGAAAGCCCCCGGCUCAACCGGGGAGGGUCAUUGGAAACUGGGAAACUUGAGUGCAGAAGAGGAAAGUGGAAUUCCAAGUGUAGCGGUGAAAUGCGUAGAGAUUUGGAGGAACACCAGUGGCGAAGGCGACUUUCUGGUCUGUAACUGACGCUGAGGCGCGAAAGCGUGGGGAGCAAACAGGAUUAGAUACCCUGGUAGUCCACGCUGUAAACGAUGAGUGCUAAGUGUUAGAGGGUUUUCCGGCCCUUUAGUGCUGAAGUUAACGGCAUUAAGCNCUCCGCCGUGGGGAGGUACGGUCGGCGAAGACUGAAACUACAAAGGAAAGUUAGACGG
This 599-nucleotide ribosomal RNA is filed under the name uncultured bacterium. RNAcentral's name for it is "bacterial SSU rRNA". It matches the Rfam family "Bacterial small subunit ribosomal RNA", at positions 338 to 916 of the family's 1533-position model. The record is from RNAcentral.